RNAcentral lists this ribosomal RNA (43 nucleotides) under Fusarium oxysporum. RNAcentral describes it as "partial 28S ribosomal RNA". Lineage: Eukaryota; Fungi; Ascomycota; Sordariomycetes; Hypocreales; Nectriaceae. The record is from RNAcentral.
UUGUUGGGGGAAAGUGAAGGGAACCCGUCCUUCCCCUCGAUUU